This 255-nucleotide ribosomal RNA is filed under the name uncultured Gardnerella sp. RNAcentral describes it as "partial 16S ribosomal RNA". It matches the Rfam family "Bacterial small subunit ribosomal RNA", at positions 99 to 355 of the family's 1533-position model. The record is from RNAcentral. Lineage: Bacteria; Bacillati; Actinomycetota; Actinomycetes; Bifidobacteriales; Bifidobacteriaceae.
CGAACGGGUGAGUAAUGCGUGACCAACCUGCCCCAUGCUCCAGAAUAGCUCUUGGAAACGGGUGGUAAUGCUGGAUGCUCCAACUUGACGCAUGUCUUGUUGGGAAAGUGUUUAGUGGCAUGGGAUGGGGUCGCGUCCUAUCAGCUUGUAGGCGGGGUAAUGGCCCACCUAGGCUUCGACGGGUAGCCGGCCUGAGAGGGCGGACGGCACAUUGGGACUGAGAUACGGCCCAGACUCCUACGGGAGGCAGCAGCC